Molecule: ribosomal RNA, 569 nt
Filed under: uncultured bacterium
Lineage: Bacteria
Description: partial 16S ribosomal RNA
Rfam family: Bacterial small subunit ribosomal RNA
Source: RNAcentral
UGGGGAAUAUUGCACAAUGGGCGCAAGCCUGAUGCAGCCAUGCCGCGUGUGUGAAGAAGGCCUUCGGGUUGUAAAGCAUUUUCAGCGAGGAGGAAGGUGGUGAACUUAAUACGUUCAUCAAUUGACGUUACUCGCAGAAGAAGCACCGGCUAACUCCGUGCCAGCAGCCGCGGUAAUACGGAGGGUGCAAGCGUUAAUCGGAAUUACUGGGCGUAAAGCGCACGCAGGCGGUUUGUUAAGUCAGAUGUGAAAUCCCCGGGCUCAACCUGGGAACUGCAUUUGAAAACUGGCAAGCUAGAGUCUCGUAGAGGGGGGUAGAAUUCCAGGUGUAGCGGUGAAAUGCGUAGAGAUCUGGAGGAAUACCGGUGGCGAAGGCGGCCCCCUGGACGAAGACUGACGCUCAGGUGCGAAAGCGUGGGGAGCAAACAGGAUUAGAUACCCCUGGUAGUCCACGCUGUAAAACGAUGUCGAUUUUGGAGGUUGUGCCCUUGAGGCGUGGCUUCCGGAGCUAACGCGUUAAAUCGACCGCCUGGGGAGUACGGCCGCAAGGUUAAAACUCAAAUGAAUUG